RNAcentral lists this ribosomal RNA (433 nucleotides) under uncultured bacterium. RNAcentral describes it as "partial 16S ribosomal RNA". It matches the Rfam family "Bacterial small subunit ribosomal RNA", at positions 29 to 507 of the family's 1533-position model. The record is from RNAcentral.
AACGAACGCUGGCGGCAGGCCUAACACAUGCAAGUCGAGCGGACCCUUCGGGGUUAGCGGCGGACGGGUGAGUAACGCGUGGGAAUAUGCCCUUCUCUACGGAAUAGUCCUGGGAAACUGGGGGUAAUACCGUAUACGCCCUUUGGGGGAAAGAUUUAUCGGGGAAGGAUUAGCCCGCGUUGGAUUAGGUAGUUGGUGGGGUAAUGGCCUACCAAGCCGACGAUCCAUAGCUGGUUUGAGAGGAUGAUCAGCCACACUGGGACUGAGACACGGCCCAGACUCCUACGGGAGGCAGCAGUGGGGAAUCUUAGACAAUGGGGGAAACCCUGAUCUAGCCAUGCCGCGUGAGUGAUGAAGGCCUUAGGGUUGUAAAGCUCUUUCAGCUGGGAAGAUAAUGACGGUACCAGCAGAAGAAGCCCCGGCUAACUCCGUG